This 79-nucleotide unclassified non-coding RNA is filed under the name Epilithonimonas pallida. RNAcentral describes it as "Flavo-1 RNA". The record is from RNAcentral. Lineage: Bacteria; Pseudomonadati; Bacteroidota; Flavobacteriia; Flavobacteriales; Weeksellaceae.
AGCGCGCCCCGACUUGAGUGGAGCUCUUUUUCUUUUUUUGCUAAAAAAGAAAAAAGCGGGAACGGAGGCGGAUAAAGGC